AUUGAACGCUGGCGGCAGGCCUAACACAUGCAAGUCGAGGGGUAUUGGUUUUCGGACCAAGAGACCGGCGCACGGGUGCGUAACGCGUAUGCAAUCUACCUUUUGCAGAGGGAUAGCCCAGAGAAAUUUGGAUUAAUACCUCAUAGUAUAGUACUUUGGCAUCAAGGAACUAUUAAAGUCACAAACGGCAAAAGAUGAGCAUGCGUCCAUUAGCUAGUUGGUAAGGUAACGGCUUACCAAGGCUACGAUGGGUAGGGUCCUGAGAGGGGAGAUCCCCCCACACUGGUACUGAGACACGGACCAGACUCCUAC
Molecule: ribosomal RNA, 312 nt
Filed under: uncultured bacterium
Lineage: Bacteria
Description: bacterial SSU rRNA
Rfam family: Bacterial small subunit ribosomal RNA
Source: RNAcentral